AGGGAAUAUUAGAAAUGGACGAAAGUCUGAUCUAGCGACACCGCGUGUGCGAAGAAGGCCUUCGGGUUGUAAAGCACUUUUUGGAAGGAAUAGGAAGGAAGGUACUUCCAGAAUAAGUCUCGGCUAACUACGUGCCAGCAGCCGCGGUAACACGUAGGAGGCGAACGUUAUCCGGAUUUACUGGGCGUAAAGCGCGUGUAGGUGGUUCUGUAAGUAGGGCGUGAAAGCUCCUGGCUCAACUGGGAGAGGCCGUUCUAAACUGCAGAGCUAGAGGAUGGUAGAGGGAGGUGGAAUUCCAGGUGUAGCGGUGGAAUGCGCAGAUAUCUGGAGGAACACCAGUGGCGAAGGCGGCCUCCUGGACCAUUCCCGACACUCAGACGCGAAAGCUAGGGUAGCAAACGG
RNAcentral lists this ribosomal RNA (402 nucleotides) under uncultured bacterium. RNAcentral's name for it is "bacterial SSU rRNA". It matches the Rfam family "Bacterial small subunit ribosomal RNA", at positions 356 to 775 of the family's 1533-position model. The record is from RNAcentral.